This is a long non-coding RNA of Micropterus salmoides (largemouth bass), 944 nucleotides long. RefSeq lists it as uncharacterized. The transcript is spliced from 2 exons. The record is from RefSeq and is a predicted model, not a curated record. NCBI's taxonomy places the organism in Eukaryota, Metazoa, Chordata, Actinopteri, Centrarchiformes, Centrarchidae.
AGCAUCCAUUAUUUGUCACCCUGUAGUAGAUUGGAGAAGAAUCUGAAUGUGCCAACGCUUGUUCCUGUCAACAUUAGGCAUAAAGCAGUGGUGUUUUUUGAAGUGGGAGCCCUCUUGAAAACAGCCUCUGUCAAUGUAAGUUUUGUCAAACAUUUUCUGUGACUUAAAUAUAUCUCCCUUUCACUUAAAGAAAGACCAGUGUGAUGCCUACUGUUCUUUCAAGCCUGGAAACAUCGAAGCAGCUUCAUGGGACACAAAGCCUGCGAAGCAGAAGGACAAAGACGAUGCAGAUGAGAAGACCUUGUUGGUGCUCACUCCAAUUCCAGGCCAUACCGUGUGAGGUACAUAUCUUCAAGGACUUCUGCCAGAUGGGGAACUGGGAAAAAGCUGGGGAUCCAACAUUGCAUGACCUCCAAACAAUCAGAUACAACGUGGAUGGCACCACUCAGAUGACUGGGAAGCCUAUCUGUCCCCAUCUCUUAAAAGAAGAGUAUCACCACAGCAGCCCCACUGUGCGCAUCCAGCCAGCCAGUUAAAGAGCUGAAGUUCAAACAGCCCCAAGAACUGAAGGUUUUGCCCAAGAACUUCCACUCACCCUACGAUGGACUGGACCACGAGUGAUGCCCGUCACCAGCUGGAGCCUCACGCAGACGCGCACACACACACACUGAUGUACUUAGGCUAUAUUAGUUACAGUUGUUCAUUAAAAUGAGCGUAAUUAUAUUUUGCAUUAUUUUUUAAAUACCUUUUACUGGUUUUAAUGGUUUUAACAUAAUUCCUAAUUGUUCAAAGUAUUAAGUCAAAUAUCUGGUAGUAGUCAAGACUCCAAUCAAUUGUCUCUCACAAAUAGUCUGACAGAUUCUUUAUCCUGGUUGUUCAUAAUAAUAAUUUUGAAUGUUGUGUGGUUUACACAGUAAAAUAAAUUUCAACCUUUACUGAUUAAA